GCCUUUGUGGCGCAAUUGGUAGCGCACCCGACUUGUAAUCGGGCGGUUGUCGGUUCGAGUCCGACGGAAGGCU
RNAcentral lists this transfer RNA (73 nucleotides) under Armatimonadota bacterium. RNAcentral's name for it is "Armatimonadetes bacterium tRNA-Thr". It matches the Rfam family "tRNA". Rfam says of the family: Transfer RNA (tRNA) molecules are approximately 80 nucleotides in length. Their secondary structure includes four short double-helical elements and three loops (D, anti-codon, and T loops). Further hydrogen bonds mediate the characteristic L-shaped molecular structure. tRNAs have two regions of fundamental functional importance: the anti-codon, which is responsible for specific mRNA codon recognition, and the 3' end, to which the tRNAs corresponding amino acid is attached (by aminoacyl-tRNA synthetases). tRNAs cope with the degeneracy of the genetic code in two manners: having more than one tRNA (with a specific anti-codon) for a particular amino acid; and 'wobble' base-pairing, i.e. permitting non-standard base-pairing at the 3rd anti-codon position. The record is from RNAcentral. Lineage: Bacteria; Bacillati; Armatimonadota.